This 506-nucleotide ribosomal RNA is filed under the name uncultured bacterium. RNAcentral describes it as "bacterial SSU rRNA". It matches the Rfam family "Bacterial small subunit ribosomal RNA", at positions 27 to 556 of the family's 1533-position model. The record is from RNAcentral.
GGACGAACGCUGGCGGCGUGCUUAACACAUGCAAGUCGAACGGGAGUAUCGAAGAAGCUUGCUUUUAAGAUACUUUAGUGGCGGACGGGUGAGUAACGCGUGAGGAGCUGUCCUAUGCAGGGGGACAACAGUUGGAAACGACUGCUAAUACCCCAUAAGCCGAGAGGUAAAAGGAUUUAUCCGGCAAAGGAGGUACUCGCGUCCUAUCAGCUAGUAGGUGAGGUAACGGCUCACCUAGGCGAAGACGGGUAGCCGGCCUGAGAGGGCGAACGGCCACACUGGAACUGAGAUACGGUCCAGACUCCUACGGGAGGCAGCAGUGGGGAAUAUUGGGCAAUGGGGGCAACCCUGACCCAGCGACGCCGCGUGGGUGAAGAAAUCCUUCGGGAUGUAAAGCCCUGUUGUAUGGGAAGAGCAGAAGACGGUACCAUACGAGGAAGCCCCGGCAAACUACGUGCCAGCAGCCGCGGUAAUACGUAGGGGGCAAGCGUUGUCCGGAAUUACUG